GAACUUAAGCAUAUCAAUAAGCGGAGGAAAAGAAACUAACAAGGAUUCCCUUAGUAACUGCGAGUGAAGCGGGAAGAGCUCAAAUUUGUAAUCUGGCGGUCUCAGCCGUCCGAGUUGUAGUCUGGAGAAGCGUUUUCCGCGUCGGACCGUGUACAAGUCCCUUGGAACAGGGCGUCAUAGAGGGUGAGAAUCCCGUCUUUGACACGGACUACCGAUGCUUUGUGAUGCGCUCUCAAAGAGUCGAGUUGUUUGGGAAUGCAGCUCAAAACGGGUGGUAAAUUCCAUCUAAAGCUCAAUAUUGGCGAAAGACCGAUAGCGAACAAGUACCGUGAGGGAAAGAUGAAAAGCACUUUGGAAAGAGAGUUAACAGUACGUGAAAUUGUUGAAAGGGAAACGAUUGAAGUCAGUCGCGUCUUCCGGGACUCAGCUUGGCUUUUGCCUGGCGCAUUUCCCGGGGUGACGGGCCAGCAUCAAUUUCGACCGGCGGAGAAAGGUAGGGGGAACGUGGCACCUUCGGGUGUGUUAUAGCCCUCUGUCGUAUGCGUCGGUUGGGAUUGAGGAUCGCAGCACGCCUUUUUGGCCGGGGUUCGCCCACGUAACGUGCUUAGGAUGCUGGCGUAAUGGCUUUAAACGACCCGUCUU
RNAcentral lists this ribosomal RNA (642 nucleotides) under Kavinia alboviridis. RNAcentral's name for it is "eukaryotic LSU rRNA". It matches the Rfam family "Eukaryotic large subunit ribosomal RNA", at positions 30 to 655 of the family's 3401-position model. Lineage: Eukaryota; Fungi; Basidiomycota; Agaricomycetes; Gomphales; Lentariaceae. The record is from RNAcentral.